CUCUGCAACACUGAAUUAGAAGAGGGCCUCACCCUGCAGAGGAGAGGACGCUAAGGAAAGCAUCAGCUUUGUGCCUGAACCCCAAGCACUUUUUCCACUCACUUAAAAUGCUGCCUGAUGACACCCCACACGGCUCUGAGCCUCUGUGGGGCUCCCAGCCCUGGGCUGCAGACGCAGGACUCUAAGCACAACACCCCAGUUCUCCAGAGAGAAGGCGUCUCCUUCUAAUCCUGCACCCCGCACCCGAGUUAUCCCCACAAACCAGAACACAUUUACUCCCAGAAGAUGCUGUUUGUUGAAAUGGGGAGCUGGAGGAAGCAGGGCCAACGGGGCAGGAGAGAGGGGCAGGUCUGAAGAAAAUGUAGACAGAAAUGCCUCCAUGGGGUGAGGAUCCAGUGCUUCCUGUGAGGCUGGCUGCUGGCAGGAAGGCGGAGAAAGCAAAUUCUCCCGCAAGGGUGUGUUUCUGAAAGUGGCUGGGAUCUAAGAAGUGGGAGGUAUGGGAACGGAAUGCAUCUUUCUGUAUCUUGAUUGAAGAUCAAAACAACUUCUAUUCUUGCAAAUUCCCUUAGAAAUACAGCCUCAUGGGGAUCGAGAAAGGAAUUUAUUUCUUCACAAAGCUUACCAAGCAGCCUGGCUGGGAGCCAUUUGGCAGUUUCUCCAGCAGGAAACUUCUGGAGAAGCAACAGGGCCCCCUCCUCAUGCUACAGGACCAGACUGAGGGAGCUCAGUCUCUCAGUUCCUGCCCUGGGUAACCUCACAGACAGGGUGCAUCCUGGAGGUGCACAGGGCAGCUCCCCAGCUGACCCUCCAGUGACUGAGGAGCUUGCCAGGCAAGGUGAAUGGCCUAAACCUGAGCUGUUCAGUUUGGGAUUGCAGGGGCUCACAAUGCCCCCAGAUAAGCAUGCUAUAUGUGGACCACCAGUUUUACCCAAGGAGC
Molecule: long non-coding RNA, 937 nt
Filed under: Equus caballus (horse)
Lineage: Eukaryota; Metazoa; Chordata; Mammalia; Perissodactyla; Equidae
Description: lncRNA (ENSECAG00000047874.1)
Source: RNAcentral